This 548-nucleotide ribosomal RNA is filed under the name uncultured bacterium. RNAcentral's name for it is "bacterial SSU rRNA". It matches the Rfam family "Bacterial small subunit ribosomal RNA", at positions 47 to 590 of the family's 1533-position model. The record is from RNAcentral.
CCUAACACAUGCAAGUUUCGAACGGUAACAUUUCUAGCUUGCUAGAAGAUGACGAGUGGCGGACGGGUGAGUAAUGCUUGGGAACUUGCCUUUGCGAGGGGGAUAACAGUUGGAAACGACUGCUAAUACCGCAUAAUGUCUUCGGACCAAACGGGGCUUCGGCUCCGGCGCAAAGAGAGGCCCAAGUGAGAUUAGCUAGUUGGUAAGGUAACGGCUUACCAAGGCGACGAUCUCUAGCUGUUCUGAGAGGAAGAUCAGCCACACUGGGACUGAGACACGGCCCAGACUCCUACGGGAGGCAGCAGUGGGGAAUAUUGCACAAUGGGGGAAACCCUGAUGCAGCCAUGCCGCGUGUGUGAAGAAGGCCUUCGGGUUGUAAAGCACUUUCAGUUGUGAGGAAAAGUUAGUAGUUAAUACCUGCUAGCCGUGACGUUAACAACAGAAGAAGCACCGGCUAACUCCGCGCCAGCAGCCGCGGUAAUACGGAGGGUGCGAGCGUUAAUCGGAAUUACUGGGCGUAAAGCGCACGCAGGCGGUUUGUUAAGCUA